This 487-nucleotide ribosomal RNA is filed under the name uncultured bacterium. Its description in RNAcentral is "bacterial SSU rRNA". It matches the Rfam family "Bacterial small subunit ribosomal RNA", at positions 28 to 507 of the family's 1533-position model. The record is from RNAcentral.
GACGAACGCUGGCGGCGUGGAUUAGGCAUGCAAGUCGAACGGUAUCAUCCUUUCGGGGGUGAGAGAGUGGCGAACUGGUGAGUAACACGUAGGUUAUCUACCCUCAAGACGGGGACAACCCAGGGAAACUUGGGCUAAUACCGGAUGUGAGCAACUUUUAGUUGUUUGAAAGGUGGCGUAAGCUGUCGCUUGGGGAUGAGCCUGCGUCCUACUAGUUAGUUGGUGAGGUAACGGCUCACCUAGGCAAUGAUAGGUAGGCGGCCUUAACGGGUGGUCGCCCACACUGGGAUUGAGAUACGGCCCAGACUCCUACGGGAGGCAGCAGUCGAGAAUAGUCUACAAUGGUCGGAAGACUGAUAGUGCGACGCCGCGUGAACGAUGAAUCCCUUCGGGGUGUAAAGUUCUUUUAUAUGUGAGCAGUGCUUCUUAUAUUAACAGUAUGGGGAGAGAGAUAUUAGCAUAUGAAUAAGCAACGGCUAACUCCGUG